GAAAAUCCAAAAACCAAAUUUAUUCAUAGACCUAAAUAUCUUUAUUGAGAAAAUACUGUGUAAGAUGUUGCGGCCUAUAAGCUUCUUUAACUAGGCAAUGUUUAAAAAGCAUUGACAUUUCUUUUCCAGCUUUAUUGAAAUAAAAUGGACAUAUAACACAGUCUUGAAGAACUCCUUUCAGCAUUUCUUAUAAGGCAAGUCUAGUGGUGAUCAACUCCUUCAGCUUUUGUUUGUUGGGAAAAUGUUUAUCUCACCUUCAUUUCUGAAGGACAACUUUGACAGCAUUAUGUUGUAGGUACUUCAUGUGCUAUUACAGAAGAUUUAUUACCAUUAAAAAACUACUUCUUCAAAUGAGAAAACUGACAGCUGAGAGUUUGAAGAAAUCUGCCAAUUUUACAAGUGAAUAAAUGUUAGCGCUCACAUUCAAACUCAGAACUUUAGGAUUCCUUGGAAAUCCUUCAACAUGCUCCUUAGGGAUGACGGAUACCUACUGGGUGGAGUCCUCUCCUUCUUGAGACAACUUUUCAACCAGAGUAGCGAUUGUAGAUGAAUUCCUAACCCCUGGUACCUGUGAAUGUGACUUUAUUUGGAAAUAGGAUCUUUGCAGAUGUAAUCAAGUUAAAAUGAGUGUCGGCCCUAAUCCAAUAACUGAUAUCCAUAUAAGAAGAGGGAUAUUUGGACUUAGACACAGAGGAGACACAGUGGGGAGAACACCAUGUGAAGAUGGAGACAGAAAUUGAAGUGAUGGAUCUAAAAGCCAAGGAAUACCAAAGAGGAAUGGCAAACACGAGAAGCUAAGAGAGAAGCAUGGAACAGAUUCUUACUCAGGGCCUCCAGAAGGAACCAACCUACUAACACCUGGAUUUCAGAAUUCUAGUCUCCAGAACUGUGAGAGAAUAAAUUUAUACCAUUUUAAGUGACUCGGUUUGUGGCAUUUUGUUAUGGCAGUCCUAGAAAACUAAAACAGUAGCUUUCCUUUGAUUUGUCUUAUGUCUGCAUAACAUGACACUUGCAGGAAGAAUUGACUUACUUGUGAAAUGUUUAGAAACCGUGACUCUCUUCCAUUGAUGGCGGUGGUAGGUGAGGAAAAGCAG
Molecule: long non-coding RNA, 1094 nt
Filed under: Equus asinus (donkey)
Lineage: Eukaryota; Metazoa; Chordata; Mammalia; Perissodactyla; Equidae
Description: lncRNA (ENSEASG00005025154.1)
Source: RNAcentral